GGGAGGAGGCUGCUGGGGAGUUUCAGCGCUGGGUGAUUAUUCCAGACUCGGGAGAACGAGUACACUCAGUAGAGAGUAUCCUCCCCAUCAGAGGGCCGGCUCUUUUUGGCUUUUACCCUCCGAGCAUCUCCAGCCCUCACCCCCCACUCCCCUACAUAAUAUGUAUCUUGCACACCCUCCCCUCCCACCCCAUGCACCUCACUUUCUAAACUGCUCCUGGACCUCCAGAUCCUGACCACAGGCUUUCUGCUGGAUGCCUCACCUCAGCCCUCAGACUGUGUGCAGCCUUCACUCUUUGCUUCUCUCCGUGUCCAGAAUCCGGAUCUUGCUUGGGCUGGAGGCUUACUGACCUAAGGAGCAUACAUAAGCCAUGAAUAACCAUAGUCGAAGCUUUUUUUUUUUGUUUUAAGCGUUCUCUGGAUGCCAAGAGCCAUGCUAAGUAUUUCCCGUGCAUCAUCAUUGGAUGUUAAGGUCUGUUCCGUGAGCUCAGACUAUCAUCAGCCCCAUUUUGCCGAAGGAAAUCCGAAACUUAGAUGAACGGCCCAGGGGUCACACAGGCAGAGGAUGAGCUGGGACAGCUGAACCGAGGCUGAAUGGGUCCUAAGUCUGAUGAAUUGCAAGAAAAAGAAAGAAAAUGAAAGAAGAGAUUUCUCCAAAGUCAUGUGGAUUGUAAGAGAGAGAAGGUGCAUCUUACAUCCAAAUCUUCACAGCAUCUCCACCAGGAAACUACUUUCUUUGCUCAUCCAUAAGAAGCAACUCCUCAUCUGUUCAAGUGUGAUCAUGAGAUUCCAGCAAUUCCAUCAUAUCUUCAGGCUCCACUUCUAAUUCUGGUUCUCCUGCUGUUUCCACCACAGCUGCAGUGACUUCUUCCAGUCAAGUCUGGAACCUCCAAUUUGUAAAAAAGGCAAUAUCUUCUAAGUGCAAUAAAAUAAGAUGUGCCUAUAGAACCAA
Neofelis nebulosa (Clouded leopard) is the source of this 951-nucleotide long non-coding RNA. RefSeq lists it as uncharacterized. The transcript has 3 exons. NCBI's taxonomy places the organism in Eukaryota, Metazoa, Chordata, Mammalia, Carnivora, Felidae. The record is from RefSeq and is a predicted model, not a curated record.